RNAcentral lists this unclassified non-coding RNA (344 nucleotides) under Hevea brasiliensis (rubber tree). The record is from RNAcentral. Lineage: Eukaryota; Viridiplantae; Streptophyta; Magnoliopsida; Malpighiales; Euphorbiaceae.
AGGAUACACAGGGGCUGCUUUUAUUCAGAAUAUAGUUUGUGAUGAUACCCUAUUGUACAGACCAACUCCUUGGGAGAAAAUGCGAGAAGGCGCAGAAUGUCUCAAAAGAAUGGGGUAAAACUACAAGAUUCCUUCUCUCUAGAUCCCUUUAGAAGGAGGCUGAUCUCUUUAGAAGGGGUUUCAUCGCCUUGUCCUCCUCGAGGGAGACCAUACCCAGAUGCGAGGGGUCCUCCAGCAACAUCUUGGCCACCAAAUAUCCGGCUAUGGACCAUGUCUGGUACUUCCUGGCUUGUUUGCCGAUAUACCGUCCCAGCUUCCCGUCGUAGUACUCUGGCCAGCUAUCU